Molecule: ribosomal RNA, 494 nt
Filed under: uncultured bacterium
Lineage: Bacteria
Description: partial 16S ribosomal RNA
Rfam family: Bacterial small subunit ribosomal RNA
Source: RNAcentral
GACGAACGCUGGCGGCGUGCUUAACACAUGCAAGUCGAACGGUGAAGCGCCUUCCUUUUUGGUGGGUGUGGAUGAGUGGCGAACGGGUGAGUAACACGUGAGUAACCUGCCCCCUUCUUCUGGAUAACCGCAUGAAAGUGUGGCUAAUACGGGAUAUUCUGGGUCUGUCGCAUGAUGGGUCUGGGAAAGAUAUUGUUUCGGUGGGGGAUGGGCUCGCGGCCUAUCAGCUUGUUGGUGGGGUGAUGGCCUACCAAGGCGGUGACGGGUAGCCGGCCUGAGAGGGUGGACGGUCACACUGGGACUGAGACACGGCCGAGACUCCUACGGGAGGCAGCAGUGGGGAAUAUUGCACAAUGGGCGCAAGCCUGAUGCAGCGACGCCGCGUGAGGGAUGGAGGCCUGCGGGUUGUGAACCUCUUUCGCCAGUGAAGCAGGCCUGCCUCGUUUGUGGGUGGGUUGACGGUAGCUGGAUAAGAAGCGCCGGCUAACUACGUG